GACGAACGCUGGCGGCGUGCUUAACACAUGCGAGUCGAACGGAAAGGCCCAGCUUGUUGGGUACUCGAGUGGCGAACGGGUGAGUAACACGUGGGUGAUCUGCCCCAAACUUCGGGAUAAGCCCUGGGAAACUGGGUCUAAUACCGGAUAUGACCUGCUCCUGCAUGGGGGUUGGUGGAAAGCUUUUGCGGUUUGGGAUGGGCCCGCGGCCUAUCAGCUUGUUGGUGGGGUAAUGGCCUACCAAGGCGACGACGGGUAGCCGACCUGAGAGGGUGAUCGGCCACACUGGGACUGAGACACGGCCCAGACUCCUACGGGGGGCAGCAGUGGGGAAUAUUGCACAAUGGGCGCAAGCCUGAUGCAGCGACGCCCGCG
This 375-nucleotide ribosomal RNA is filed under the name uncultured bacterium. RNAcentral's name for it is "bacterial SSU rRNA". It matches the Rfam family "Bacterial small subunit ribosomal RNA", at positions 28 to 401 of the family's 1533-position model. The record is from RNAcentral.